This 310-nucleotide ribosomal RNA is filed under the name uncultured eukaryote. RNAcentral's name for it is "partial 18S ribosomal RNA". It matches the Rfam family "Eukaryotic small subunit ribosomal RNA", at positions 1470 to 1796 of the family's 1831-position model. The record is from RNAcentral.
CCCUUAGAUGUUCUGGGCUGCACGCGUGCUACACUGAUUCCUUCAACAAGUGUUUUAACUGGAGAGUUUGCGUAAUCCUGAAAUGUUAUCGUGAUGGGAGUAGAGUAUUGUAUUUGUUAAUCUUUAACGAGGAAUUCCUAGUAAGUGUAGGUUUAUAAGUUGUUCUGAUUACGUCCCUGCCCUUUGUACACACCGCCCGUCGCUCCUACCGAUUGAUUGAUCCGGUGAAUUACAUAGAAUUUUGCGUUUUACAUGACGGAAGAUGAAGUGUUUUAAACCUUAUCAUUUAGAGGAAGGAGAAGUCGUAACA